Molecule: ribosomal RNA, 1049 nt
Filed under: Arrowinus relictus
Lineage: Eukaryota; Metazoa; Arthropoda; Insecta; Coleoptera; Staphylinidae
Description: eukaryotic LSU rRNA
Rfam family: Eukaryotic large subunit ribosomal RNA
Source: RNAcentral
GAAAAGAAACUAACUAGGAUUCCCUCAGUAGCGGCGAGCGAACAGGGAAGAGCCCAGCACCGAAUCCCGCGCCCGUCGCCGGGCGCCGGGAAAUGUGGUGUUAGGGAGGGUCCGCCAUCCCGAGGUCGCGCGUCGCGUCCAAGUCCUUCUUGAACGGGGCCACUUACCCACAGAGGGUGCCAGGCCCGUAGCGACCGUCGCCGGCAGCGGGAGGACCUCUCCUCAGAGUCGGGUUGCUUGAGAGUGCAGCCCUAAGCGGGUGGUAAACUCCAUCUAAGGCUAAAUAUGACCACGAGACCGAUAGCGAACAAGUACCGUGAGGGAAAGUUGAAAAGAACUUUGAAGAGAGAGUUCAAUAGUACGUGAAACCGUUCAGGGGUAAACCUGAGAAACCCGAAAAGGUCGAACGGGGAGAUUCAGCGCGUCUCGAAGCGGGCGAGCCGCGGUGCAGGCGACGGCGGGCGCUACGCGCGCCCACCGCGCCCUCCGCGGCCGCAGUCCCGCGGCGAACGCGUGCACUUCUCCCCCUGUAGGACGUCGCGACCCGUUGGCGGCCGGCCUAAGGUCCGCGGUGGAGACCGGGCGAGCGCCUCACGGCGCCUUCGCCUCGGACCCGCGGCAUCCCGGCCGGCCAGACCGACGGUACGAUCGAGGCGCGGGGCCGCGAACUAAUAUCGCGUCCGGCCCGUCGCAAGCGCGCACGGCAAUCCGGCCGUCGGACAUCCGUGCCGACUCCGGAACCGUUCGGCUGCUGGCGACGCGGUCCUCGGACAGACCCCGAUGCCGUUACGGCACGCCGGUCGGCGACGAUCUAGAUUUGGGUACUUUCAGGACCCGUCUUGAAACACGGACCAAGGAGUCUAGCAUGUGCGCGAGUCAUUGGGACUUGUUGCUAAACCUAAAGGCGAAAUGAAAGUGAAGGCGCGCCUCGCGCGCGCCUAGGGAGGAUGCGCCCGUAUACGAAACGGGCGCCGCACUCCCGGGGCGUCUCUCGGGCUCAUUGCGAGCCCAGGCGCACCCAGAGCGUACACGCUGGGACCCGAAAGAUG